UACGAAGGGGGCUAGCGUUGCUCGGAAUCACUGGGCGUAAAGGGCGCGUAGGCGGCGUUUUAAGUCGGGGGUGAAAGCCUGUGGCUCAACCACAGAAUUGCCUUCGAUACUGGACGGCUCGAGACCGGAAGAGGUCAGUGGAACUGCGAGUGUAGAGGUGAAAUUCGUAGAUAUUCGCAAGAACACCGGUGGCGAAGGCGGCCAACUGGACCCAUUACUGACGCUGAGGCGCGAAAGCGUGGGGAGCAAACAGG
This 254-nucleotide ribosomal RNA is filed under the name uncultured bacterium. Its description in RNAcentral is "partial 16S ribosomal RNA". It matches the Rfam family "Bacterial small subunit ribosomal RNA", at positions 524 to 776 of the family's 1533-position model. The record is from RNAcentral.